RNAcentral lists this ribosomal RNA (432 nucleotides) under uncultured bacterium. Its description in RNAcentral is "partial 16S ribosomal RNA". It matches the Rfam family "Bacterial small subunit ribosomal RNA", at positions 29 to 507 of the family's 1533-position model. The record is from RNAcentral.
ACGAACGCUGGCGGCAUGCCUAACACCUGCAAGUCGAACGAGACCUUCGGGUCUAGUGGCGCACGGGUGCGUGACGCGUGGGAACCUGCCCUUAGUUUCGGAAUAACUCCCCGAAAGGGGUGCUAAUACCGGAUAAUGUCUUCGGACUAAAGAUUUUUCGCCUUUGGAUGGGGCCGCGUUGGUUUAGCUAGUUGGUAGGGUAAAAGGCUAACAAGGCGACGAUCCAUAGCUUGGCUGAGAGGAUGAUCAGCCACACUGGGGCUGAGACACGGCCCAGACUCCUACGGGAGGGAGGAGUGGGGAAUAUUGGACAAUGGGGGAAAGGCUGAACCAGCAAGGGCGCGUAAGUGAUGAAGGCCUUAGGGUUGUAAAGCACUUUUACCCGGGGUGAUAAUGACAGUACCGGGAGAAUAAGCUCCGGCUAACUCCGUG